RNAcentral lists this ribosomal RNA (568 nucleotides) under Exiguobacterium sp. RNAcentral describes it as "bacterial SSU rRNA". It matches the Rfam family "Bacterial small subunit ribosomal RNA", at positions 211 to 771 of the family's 1533-position model. The record is from RNAcentral. RNAcentral also lists the same sequence under 1 other name. Lineage: Bacteria; Bacillati; Bacillota; Bacilli; Caryophanales.
GGCGUCACCUUGGGAUGGCCUUGCGGUGCAUUAGCUAGUUGGUGGGGUAAUGGCCCACCAAGGCGACGAUGCAUAGCCGACCUGAGAGGGUGAUCGGCCACACUGGGACUGAGACACGGCCCAGACUCCUACGGGAGGCAGCAGUAGGGAAUCUUCCACAAUGGACGAAAGUCUGAUGGAGCAACGCCGCGUGAGUGAUGAAGGUUUUCGGAUCGUAAAACUCUGUUGUAAGGGAAGAACAGGUAUGAGAGGUAAUGCUCAUGCUAUGACGGUACCUUGCGAGAAAGCCACGGCUAACUACGUGCCAGCAGCCGCGGUAAUACGUAGGUGGCAAGCGUUGUCCGGAAUUAUUGGGCGUAAAGCGCGCGCAGGCGGCCUUUUAAGUCUGAUGUGAAAGCCCCCGGCUCAACCGGGGAGGGUCAUUGGAAACUGGAAGGCUUGAGUACAGAAGAGAAGAGUGGAAUUCCAUGUGUAGCGGUGAAAUGCGUAGAGAUGUGGAGGAACACCAGUGGCGAAGGCGACUCUUUGGUCUGUAACUGACGCUGAGGCGCGAAAGCGUGGGGAGCAA